UGGCUCAGAACGAACGCUGGCGGCAUGCCUUACACAUGCAAGUCGAACGGUAACGCGGGGCAACCUGGCGACGAGUGGCGAACGGGUGAGUAAUGCAUCCGAACGUGCCCAGUAGUGGGGGAUAGCCCGGCGAAAGCCGGAUUAAUACCGCAUACGACCUACGGGUGAAAGCGGGGGACCGCAAGGCCUCGCGCCAUUGGAGCGGCCGAUGUCAGAUUAGGUAGUUGGUGGGGUAAAGGCCUACCAAGCAGACGAUCUGUAGCUGGUCUGAGAGGACGACCAGCCACACUGGGACUGAGACACGGACCAGACUCCUACGG
This 320-nucleotide ribosomal RNA is filed under the name uncultured Burkholderiales bacterium. RNAcentral's name for it is "bacterial SSU rRNA". It matches the Rfam family "Bacterial small subunit ribosomal RNA", at positions 20 to 344 of the family's 1533-position model. Lineage: Bacteria; Pseudomonadati; Pseudomonadota; Betaproteobacteria; Burkholderiales. The record is from RNAcentral.